RNAcentral lists this ribosomal RNA (470 nucleotides) under Streptococcus vestibularis. RNAcentral's name for it is "bacterial SSU rRNA". It matches the Rfam family "Bacterial small subunit ribosomal RNA", at positions 28 to 484 of the family's 1533-position model. The record is from RNAcentral. Lineage: Bacteria; Bacillati; Bacillota; Bacilli; Lactobacillales; Streptococcaceae.
GACGCACGCUGGCGCGUGCCUAUACAUGCAGUAGACGCUGUAGAGAGGAGCUUGCUCUUCUUGGAUGAGUUGCGCACGGGUGAGUAACGCGUAGGUAACAUGCCUUGUAGCGGGGGAUAACUAUUGGAACGAUAGCUAAUACCGCAUAACAAUGGGUGACACAUGUCAUUUAUUUGAAAGGGGCAAUUGCUCCACUACAAGAUGGACCUGCGUUGUAUUAGUCUAGUAGGUGAGGUAACGGCUCACCUAGGCGACGAUACAUAGCCGACCUGAGAGGGUGAUCGGCCACACUGGGACUGAGACACGGCCCAGACUCCUACGGGAGGCAGCAGUAGGGAAUCUUCGGCAAUGGGGGCAACCCUGACCGAGCAACGCCGCGUGAGUGAAGAAGGUUUUCGGAUCGUAAAGCUCUGUUGUAAGUCAGAACGAGUGUGAGAGUGGAAAGUUCACACAUGUGACGGUAGCUUACC